This 497-nucleotide ribosomal RNA is filed under the name uncultured bacterium. RNAcentral describes it as "partial 16S ribosomal RNA". It matches the Rfam family "Bacterial small subunit ribosomal RNA", at positions 28 to 507 of the family's 1533-position model. The record is from RNAcentral.
GAUGAACGCUGGCGGCGUGCCUAAUACAUGCAAGUCGAGCGAACAGACGAGGAGCUUGCUCCUCUGACGUUAGCGGCGGACGGGUGAGUAACACGUGGAUAACCUACCUAUAAGACUGGGAUAACUUCGGGAAACCGGAGCUAAUACCGGAUAAUAUAUUGAACCGCAUGGUUCAAUAGUGAAAGACGGUUUUGCUGUCACUUAUAGAUGGAUCCGCGCCGCAUUAGCUAGUUGGUAAGGUAACGGCUUACCAGGGCAACGAUGCGUAGCCGACCUGAGAGGGUGAUCGGCCACACUGGAACUGAGACACGGUCCAGACUCCUACGGGGGGCAGCAGUAGGGAAUCUUCCGCAAUGGGCGAAAGCCUGACGGAGCAACGCCGCGUGAGUGAUGAAGGUCUUCGGAUCGUAAAACUCUGUUAUUAGGGAAGAACAAAUGUGUAAGUAACUAUGCACGUCUUGACGGUACCUAAUCAGAAAGCCACGGCUAACUACGUG